UGGCUAUUUAUAGCCUUAGAUCAUCCUGACAUGAUUUGACAUAAAUGCCCUUUAAUAAUAUGACCGUUGGGUUGAUAAGAUCUGUGACAGGUGGCGCAUGGCACGACAACGGUCGAAACUUUCAACUGUGACAUUCCCCAUGUCUCUCAUAUUCCUAACUCUGAGGUUUUGAUAGAUGUAUUUUUGGGUUGAGCAUCAUGAGGAAAUUCAUUCCAUAGUUGUACCUCGGCCCCCUUUAACAAUAUGGUGUUCCUAUGACUCAAGUGUAAAAAUAAUAAAAC
This 281-nucleotide long non-coding RNA is filed under the name Hordeum vulgare. RNAcentral's name for it is "long non-coding RNA (HVUL_LNC007453)". The record is from RNAcentral. Lineage: Eukaryota; Viridiplantae; Streptophyta; Magnoliopsida; Poales; Poaceae.